RNAcentral lists this long non-coding RNA (518 nucleotides) under Homo sapiens (human). Its description in RNAcentral is "HSALNT0009757". The record is from RNAcentral. Lineage: Eukaryota; Metazoa; Chordata; Mammalia; Primates; Hominidae.
GAAAAGACUGAAAUCAACCUGCUCCCCUGGCAAAACUCUAAAUGACAGGCAGGAAUAGUGGCGCGGUUUGUAUUUUGUGAGCUCUGUCCUUUCUACUUCAAAAAGGAUUUCCAGUGACAAUAGAUAUGACUUAAAAUACCAAAAGGAUCAAUAUUCUAGAGAGUUGGCACAUGAAAUAGAGAGGGCUGACUUAAGAGGGCUGAUUCUCGCUCCCUAAUUAGUCCACACCCUUUGAGUGGGCCAAUAGAAUACAGCAAAGGUGAUGGAAUGGACGUGGUUAUGUAUGUGAUGGACAUGUCCAUGAUUGCCUGCACGGGAUUGCAUACAUGAGAUGGUAGGAUGUGUCUUGUUGGAGUCUCUUGUUGCUGGCUUUGGCAAAGGAAGCAGAAAUGCAUGGACCACCUCUGUGGACAUAGUCAAGUGGCAAGGAAUUGCAGGUGCAAAGAACCGAAUUUUGCAAACAACCUAGGUGAGCUUGGAAGCAGGGUCUUUCCCACGGAGCCUCAGUGGAGACCACA